This is a long non-coding RNA of Alnus glutinosa, 1198 nucleotides long. RefSeq lists it as uncharacterized. The record is from RefSeq and is a predicted model, not a curated record. The transcript is spliced from 6 exons. Lineage: Eukaryota; Viridiplantae; Streptophyta; Magnoliopsida; Fagales; Betulaceae.
UUGUUUGUUUGAGCUUUCUCUGGCUCUCAGUAUUAGUUUCUACUUUAGGAGGUGGUUCAGAUCGGUGUGGUUCCUUCUUUGUUGUGCAGAGGUUGUUGUAAGCCCUCCGUUUGUGUUUCUUCCUCUGGUGAAAAGCUUAUUGCGAUCGGAUUUCCAUGUUGCCGCCCAGAACUGUUGGGUUCGCAAAGGUGGUGCUUUUACUGGAGAGAUUAGUGCUGAGAUGCUUGUGAAUUUGAGCAUUCCUUGGGUCAUCCUUGGUCAUUCUGAAAGAAGAUCUCUUUUGAGCGAGUGAAGUGAGUUUUUGGAGACAAAGUUCUCCACAAUAUAAUCGGUGGAAUUAGAUCCGGUAGAUUUGGCGGCCGGAUCUGUCUCCGGCGACGCCCAUAAAAAAGGAUCUCUCUCUCUUUGGCCGGAUCUGUUGCCACCAAGACCCACCGACUGUCACCCAUCGGAGCAACCCCCUCCCUCUCUCUCGCCGUGUUCCUGUUUACCAUUUAAUAUCCAAGGAUCAUCAACUCUGUUCUGUUGCUAGGAGCGCUAUUAUGUAGGGAGGAAUUUGUUGGGGUAUUGUACGACCAAGGCUCGAAAAAAUGUCGGUAAAUAGUGAUGUGUCAAGACCCCCUCCGUUAUGUUACUGUGGAGUGCAUGCACGUCUAAGGUACUCAUGGACUAGUGACAACCCCGGACGAAAGUGGUAUGGCUGUAUAAAGUAUAAGGAAGAGGAACAUACUUGUUGAGGUUGAGGUUGAGGUUGUAAUUGAGACAGACUUUUCUUCUCCAACAAACUGUUUACAAGGUCAAACCAGGGAAACAGAAAAGAUUAUUCAGCCCCACUUGACAGCCAAACCAAACCAAUGUUGAUGAAUCAAUGAGCACAUGCUGAAAAUUCUAUUCCGGAGGCAAAUUUCAGAACUCGGAGGACUGGGCAGCGUUGGAAUCACCGGACACCGGACGACGGAAGCGCCGGAAGACGGACGACGGAAGCACAGGACGACGGAGCCGGCGACGUCACUGACCGGAGGCAAAUUUCAGAACUCGGAGGACUGGGCAGCGUUGGAAGCACCGGACGACGGACGGCGGACGACGGGUGCGCCGGACGACGGGUUCUCCAGAGGACUGGGCAGCGUUGGACGGCGGACGACGGGUGCGCCGGACGACGGGUUCUCCAGAGGACUGGGCAGCGUUGGACGACGGGUUC